Quercus lobata is the source of this 491-nucleotide long non-coding RNA. RefSeq lists it as uncharacterized. The transcript has 3 exons. NCBI's taxonomy places the organism in Eukaryota, Viridiplantae, Streptophyta, Magnoliopsida, Fagales, Fagaceae. The record is from RefSeq and is a predicted model, not a curated record.
AAUCCACAGUAUCCACAAGUUGACAGUAUCAAAAUUAUCAGAAUCAAAAUCAAAAUCAUAAAAGCCCAUACAGAAGCGCAAGAGACACAACACAAAGGCCAUAAAGACAAAAUAAAAUGAAGGUUUUUGGAGUCAAGAUAAGCUGGGAUACUCACCAGCUUGUGUCCUUUGUGAUAAACCCAAAUCAAUUCUUGAAGGAAAAUGCGAGCUCAGAGAGAGAGUUUGUGCCUGCCUUGUGGUAUGUUGAAACUGAAAGAGAAGGGUGGGUCGCAGGGAGAAGCAACCAGCAGCAGGUAAAAGAAGCCUUCACUGAAAAAUUGAUGCCUAGAAUGCCUCCAGUCCCUAAGACUCAAUUCUGGUUGACUUGUGAUGGUUAGUGAAAGACCAAUCCAUCAAGGACGGCAAAUCUUUGAUUUCCGAAGAAAAUAAUUUUGCCUUAGGCUUCUUCAGCCCCAGCAACUCCAGCUAUUGGUAUCUUGGUAUCUGGUAUG